UCUGAGAACUGAAACUACUCAAAUGCAAAAAGAUAAAGCUAGAAGCUAACCUCAUAAAGAUCGAUUUCUUCAUCAGGAGCGUACCCUGCCAUUUUGUUCAAUUUGGACAAAAUUUCUAUUGGCUUGCCUGCACUUUUCACGAACAUCCUUCCAACAUAGCUAAUAGAACAGAAAGAUAACUCAUAUAAGAUUUUA
This is a long non-coding RNA of Hibiscus syriacus, 195 nucleotides long. RefSeq lists it as uncharacterized. The transcript is spliced from 3 exons. The record is from RefSeq and is a predicted model, not a curated record. NCBI's taxonomy places the organism in Eukaryota, Viridiplantae, Streptophyta, Magnoliopsida, Malvales, Malvaceae.